AUAGAAAUGUUGAAUAAUACCCCAUACGAUCAUUAAUCUGCAUGGAUUGAUGAGGAAAGUUCCGGCGGUAGAAGAUGGGCAUGCGUCCUAUUAGUUAGUUGGUAAGGUAACGGCUUACCAAGACGUCGAUAGGUAGGGGUCCUGAGAGGGAGAUCCCCCACACUGGUACUGAGACACGGACCAGACUCCUACGGGAGGCAGCAGUGAGGAAUAUUGGACAAUGGAGGCAACUCUGAUCCAGCCAUGCCGCGUGCAGGAAGACGGCCCUAUGGGUUGUAAACUGCUUUUAUACAGGAAGAAUAGUACCUACGUGUAGGUAUUUGACGGUACUGUACGAAUAAGGAUCGGCUAACUCCGUGCCAGCAGCCGCGGUAAUACGGAGGAUCCAAGCGUUAUCCGGAAUCAUUGGGUUUAAAGGGUCCGUAGGCGGUCUGAUAAGUCAGAGGUGAAAUCCUGCAGCUCAACUGUAGCAUUGCCUUUGAUACUGUUAGACUUGAGUUAUUGUGAAGUAGUUAGAAUGUGUGGUGUAGCGGUGAAAUGCAUAGAUAUCACACAGAAUACCGAUUGCGAAGGCAGA
RNAcentral lists this ribosomal RNA (577 nucleotides) under bacterium MS-B-1. RNAcentral describes it as "bacterial SSU rRNA". It matches the Rfam family "Bacterial small subunit ribosomal RNA", at positions 150 to 725 of the family's 1533-position model. The record is from RNAcentral.